This 696-nucleotide long non-coding RNA is filed under the name Equus caballus (horse). RNAcentral describes it as "lncRNA (ENSECAG00000040811.2)". The record is from RNAcentral. Lineage: Eukaryota; Metazoa; Chordata; Mammalia; Perissodactyla; Equidae.
GUUUCGUUUGUUUUCGUCUUUUGAGGAGGAAGGAUGCACUUUGUUGCUGUCUGUCGUGCUCUCCUGUCAGUCCAUAGAGGCACGUAGGGAGACAGCAGAGGUGGAGCCCUCGCUGACAAUCCGCAGCGCCUGUCCUCCAGGCAGGGUCCUGGGGCGAGGGACAAGGUAGAGGAAGAAGACCCCACUGGAUACAUUUGAUUGAAAAAUUUCUCCCAGUGAUGACCGAAGUACUGCUGGAAAGAAGUCUUAGAUCCAGCUAAACAUGGUCCUUUCUAAGGAAGAACUGAUCAAGAUAUGACUGAAGAAGGUGAGCCUUUUUCUCAGGCGGAAAUGGAAGAAAUGUUGUCUGCUGCAGUUGAUCCAGAAUCGAAUUCAGUUGAUUACAAGGACUACGUAACAAUGAUGGUGGCAGAUGAGACUUAAACACUUUAAAGACUUAAUUUCCAAUUGAAAGGAUAAUUUAAAAAAUUGUCCUUGUUAAUUUCACAUUUUAUCUUAUCAUUUCUACAUAUGAUAACUAAUGCUUUGUGACAGCUAUUUCAAUAUAUUUUGUUUUUUAAAGAUGAUCAUAAUAAUUUAAAACUCUUUAAAUAUUUAAACUAUUUAACAUUUUAACUAUUUAACAUAUAAAGAUUUAAAACUAUUUGAGCUGUUUAAAACAUCAAAUUAAAAUUUAUUUGUCUAGCCUCAUGGAAC